AUUGAACGCUGGCGGCAUGCUUUACACAUGCAAGUCGAACGGUAACAGGCCGCAAGGUGCUGACGAGUGGCGAACGGGUGAGUCCUGCAUCGGAACGUGCCCAGCCGUGGCGGAUAACUACUCGAAAGAGUAUCUCAUACCGCAUCAGAUCCCUGGACGACCACGGGGGUGCGUAAGGCCACGCGCGAUUUGAGCGGCCGAUGCCUGAAUCGGUACCGGGUGGGGCAAAGGCUCACCAAGCGAAGGAUCUGUAGCUGGUCCGAGAGGACGACCAGCCACACUGGGACGGAGACACGGACCAGACUCCUGCGGGAGGGAGCAGUGGGGAAUAUUGGACAAGGGGCGCAAGCCUGAUCCAGCAAUGGCGCGGGCAGGAAGAAGGCGUUCGGGUUGUGAACUGCGUUUGUACGGAACGAAACGGCUCUGGUUAAUACCCGGGGCUAAUGGCGGUACCGGAAGAAUAAGCACCGGCGAACUACGUG
This 482-nucleotide ribosomal RNA is filed under the name uncultured bacterium. RNAcentral's name for it is "partial 16S ribosomal RNA". It matches the Rfam family "Bacterial small subunit ribosomal RNA", at positions 29 to 507 of the family's 1533-position model. The record is from RNAcentral.